This 76-nucleotide transfer RNA is filed under the name Psychrobacter phenylpyruvicus. Its description in RNAcentral is "tRNA-Lys(ttt)". It matches the Rfam family "tRNA". Rfam says of the family: Transfer RNA (tRNA) molecules are approximately 80 nucleotides in length. Lineage: Bacteria; Pseudomonadati; Pseudomonadota; Gammaproteobacteria; Moraxellales; Moraxellaceae. The record is from RNAcentral. RNAcentral also lists the same sequence under 3 other names.
GGGCCGAUAGCUCAGUUGGUAGAGCAGUAGACUUUUAAUCUAUUGGUCCCGCGUUCGAGUCGCGGUCGGCCCACCA